Molecule: long non-coding RNA, 398 nt
Organism: Benincasa hispida (wax gourd)
Lineage: Eukaryota; Viridiplantae; Streptophyta; Magnoliopsida; Cucurbitales; Cucurbitaceae
Source: RefSeq, a predicted model, not a curated record
UUGUUCUCUAAGACAAGCAGCUGUAGCCAGCCCUGAUGGCCCGGCCCCAACUAUCACCGGACCGUUAACCCAGAUGCAACGGCGAGAGAAGAAGUCGUUGUGAUCGGCAAGACGAAACAAGUUCUCCAUCACUACUGAGAUCAAUAAUUACAGGGAUAAAGAUCAAACUAUCGACUUUUGAAAAGAUGAGGUGGCUUGGAGCUUAUGUAUUAACAACAAUCUUGAAACAUGUAUUGGAGCCACAUAGAUUGGCUGUGACGAAUAUCGAGGAGGUAACAAAUACAUUUAGUCCUUGAUCUUAGAAGUUUACUUAUUUGAUAAAUGAACUUUCAAAAUUACAAAUUUAGUCUUUGAACUUUCAAUCUUUUUCUAAAAAUAAAAAUCAUGAAUCUACUAAA